AGUGAACGCUGGCGGUAGGCCUAACACAUGCAAGUCGAACGGCAGCACAGUAAGAGCUUGCUCUUACGGGUGGCGAGUGGCGGACGGGUGAGGAAUACAUCGGAAUCUACUUUUUCGUGGGGGAUAACGUAGGGUAACUUACGCUAAUACCGCAUACGACCUACGGGUGAAAGCAGGGGAUCUUCGGACCUUGCGCGAUUGAAUGAGCCGAUGUCGGAUUAGCUAGUUGGCGGGGUAAAGGCCCACCAAGGCGACGAUCCGUAGCUGGUCUGGGAGGAUGAUCAGCCACACUGGAACUGAGACACGGUCCAGACUCCUACGGGAGGCAGCAGUGGGGAAUAUUGGACAAUGGGCGCAAGCCUGAUCCAGCCAUACCGCGUGGGUGAAGAAGGCCUUCGGGUUGUAAAGCCCUUUUGUUGGGAAAGAAAAGCAGCAGGUUAAUACCCCGCUGUUCUGACGGUACCCAAAGAAUAAGCACCGGCUAACUUCGUG
This 492-nucleotide ribosomal RNA is filed under the name uncultured bacterium. Its description in RNAcentral is "partial 16S ribosomal RNA". It matches the Rfam family "Bacterial small subunit ribosomal RNA", at positions 29 to 507 of the family's 1533-position model. The record is from RNAcentral.